AUUUCCCAGUGUUUAACGAGACGUUACAUGAAAACUUUUGAACGAUGAUAACAUUCUGAUAAGUAUCACUUUUGUAUAAAGCAACAUUUUCCCACAUUUCAUUGUCCUUUUGUAAAAAUGGUUUUUGAUACAGAUUCUCCUAGCCAUUAUCACACAGAAAAGUGCAAGAGUAUAUAACACAGGAACCAUUGAAUUGGUUAAAUCAGUCAAACAACAGCUUUACUUACAUAAAGCAUAACAUUUAUGACAGGUAAAACAUUACUAUAAUGAGCCAGGUACAGUUUCAAUGAUAUGGAUGAAACUUUUGCUAGCAGAACUUAACGCUUUUCCUCUGUAGGUCAUGAGUCGUCUGCUUUGCCUGCACAGCAUAGGAGAAAUCUGUAUCAAAGGGAAGCGCAGGGGCGCUGUGGGGCGCGGCCCUAACGUUUACCGUUGUUGUACGAGAGAGUCCGCAGGGGUGCUUUGAAGUUUGCUGCUGCCUGUUGCUGAAUCUGAAUAAAUAUCAAAACUGCACAUACCGAGGCACAAACUGUGAUGCUGGGCGUUUGGGUCGGUAUUCCGGGUGCACCAUAAACAGCAUAUGUGGGAAUCCAGUGCCAAAGAAGGCACCGUCGGUGUGGUGGUGUCGUGAGGAUUUUGGGGUGUAGACGUCCAUACACCGAGGACAGUAUAGCUUUACCAUCGCCUCGCCUGGGACAUCUGAUAAACCUAAGAAAGAUAUACCAAAUAUUUUAAAAACAUUAAAAAAUCACUAAGACAAUUAAACUAAUA
Long non-coding RNA from Melitaea cinxia (Glanville fritillary), 771 nucleotides. RefSeq lists it as uncharacterized. The transcript is spliced from 2 exons. The record is from RefSeq and is a predicted model, not a curated record. Lineage: Eukaryota; Metazoa; Arthropoda; Insecta; Lepidoptera; Nymphalidae.